Molecule: long non-coding RNA, 2570 nt
Organism: Bubalus bubalis (water buffalo)
Lineage: Eukaryota; Metazoa; Chordata; Mammalia; Artiodactyla; Bovidae
Exons: 3
Source: RefSeq, a predicted model, not a curated record
CCUUCAUCUCGGUGCUGCAGUCCCCGGUCUCCCUCGCUGGAGCUGGUUCCGUGCGGAGCGUCCCACAGAUGUGAAUUUCCUCUUCGUCCCGGUGGGGUUCGGCGCCUAACUGGAACCAUGUGGCUCGGUGUUGAAAAAGUAUGGCAACCCACUCCAGUACUCUUGCCUGGACAAUCCAUGGAUGGAGAAGCCUGGAUCUAAACAACAUUAUAAACAUUAUAGCUGGAGUGUAAAUUCAACGGCAGCAGUUGGCAAGAGAUGAAGCUGAAGGAACGGUCAGGUGUAAGAACAUAAAGAAGCUGAAAACUAGGUUUGUGCACUGACUGAAGAGUUAAUGAAUAACAAAAAUGUGCAAAACUUCCUCUGCAAACUGGACAGGAUGGCUACUGUCACCCAGAGCUUACAUUGUAAGGGGAGCAAAAAGGGUUGGAGCUUCUUCCUUAGAGCCACGUGGGGGCUACUGAAGUGUUAUGGAAACAGAUUGGGUUUUAGAGCACAGCUCUGCUGCAGUGUAUACCGUGAGCUGGAUGGCGCAAGAGUGAAGAGGAAGCCAAAGCAGUUGUUUGAGCCAAUGACAAGAGCGUGCUAGACCAAGGUAAUAGGCACAGAGAUAUUAAGGAAUGAAAUGAUUUGAGGGUCCCUUGCAAGUGAAAAUAGAUACAAUUUGCUGCUGGAUUAAAUGUGGAUGUGUACACUGGAAAGAGAGAGUAUACCCCCUCAAUGCACCUACAAAGAUAAGCAUAAAAGCAAUGGCAGUAAUGUUGAGUCCUGCCCCAGGCCACAGGUGUGGGGUCUUAUACCAAGGUCACAGAAGCAGAUCCCAGAACCAAGGAUACCUCCAAAAUCAAGCCCCUUUGUAAUAGUUGCCAAAAGCCCCUGAACAUCACUAACAGGCUUCCUGACUCCAAAUUAGGCCAAGAUGCCCACUUCAUGAAACACCCAAAGCUCCCCAAUCACCUAAUGCCAACCUUCCAGCAGGAAUUUUCUUUAUCUCAAGGCUAUAAAAAUUGGCUAUUAACUCAUGAAAACUGUCGAUUCUCCCUGGCCUGUCAGGAGUUGUCAGCCCACUGCGCUCACAGUGCCCACUUUAUCUCUGCUCUUUGUUCUUAAUAAACUCACUCCCUUCUGCAAUACCCUGUGUCUGGAAAUUCUCUUUCAAACUGUGCUCAGAUUGCCCCAACAACUCUUCCCUUGCAUUUUUACAGGUGAUCGCAGUACACGUAAUGGGUAUCUGGCCUCUGGGUAGACACAUCUGGUUCAAAUCCCUCAGACUUCUUUUCUUCCUUCUUCUAGUGAUAUUACUUUGGCCAGGAUAUUUAAUAACCACUCUUAAGUUUUUGCCUUUUCAUCUGUAACAGUGGGAUAAUACAAGUUCAUACCUCAGGUGCUAGUGUUCAGAUAAAGUGAAAUACUGAAUGUAAAUAUGCAAAUACAUUAAUAGAAGGAUUCAGGUUUGUAUAGAGUUAUAUGAGAAUUAUUAGAUGUGCUUCUUGCCUUCAAGUACUUAAGGUGAAAGGAACUACAUAAUUACUUGGAAGUAAAACAGAUAAAUUCAUUUGUAUUUAUUUAAAAGUUGUAUCUAAGUGCCUAUAUAGAGUUAGGUUUAGAUGUUAUUUAUAAGAUUGCAGAUACUUCAAAGGAUGUAGUUUAAGGGGAGACAUUUACCUUAAUAGGCAUAGAGCCUUAGCUAUGUUGAAUGUUUAAUGAAUGCUAAAUAUUUUGCUAGUUACUUUAUAUUCAUUAUUUUAUUAAUUGCUAAAGAAUCCUGUGGCCUAUAUAUCACUUACUCACUGUUACAGAUAUUAGAACUGAGGUUCGUAGGCUUAAGGAUUAUUAAAAUUUGAAAUCGGUUUUCCCUACUUUAAAGCAUGUGCUUAUUCUGAUAUUCAGGCUGAGUAGAAUUUUCUGUGUAUUAGUUUACCGUGGAUUUUUCCUUGUUUAGAAAAAUUGCCUAUCUAUUGACCUUUUCUUGCUUUUCCUCCUCAUGUAUUCAAGGGAAUUAUUCCACUGCCUGCGUCAAAUUUCCCGCUGGGGAGAAAAAGACCUUUGCUUAAUUAUUUCCCUUAUUUUGGUGGGAAAGAAAGGCUUUCUACAACACAGCAGAAUUCGGGACACUUCUCUUCAGGAAAUGAGUGUAGAGAGAACAGGCUGGACCAAAAAGAAAAUGUGACCUACAAAAGAUUGUUUUCAAGUCCCUUGAGAUUUCAUUCAAUUUAUCUUUCUUUCACUUAAGCUCUGGCCGGUUUGGUCAAAAGGAGCAAAUUUAGUAAUGAGCUCCACUUUCAAUUCUUCGGUCAUUUCUGUUUUGUGGAGCAUAAUGAUUUCUUGAGAAAAGGACAGCCUCCAUGCCAUGUUUCUUAAAAGAAGAAACCACAAACACACACGCAGACAUACACACACACGCACACACAAUUCCUAUUUUUACACUGUUAUCAAGGUAAAAUCAAAUAGUACACAGACCUUAUAAUGAAAAGCAAGGCUCUCUUCUCUAAAAAUCCUUACUUUCAGUCUCACUCCUGAGAGACAACUCAUUAUUUUUUAUCUCUUUCUUCUGAAAGAUUUCUCCACAU